AUUCAGCUGCCGAGUCCCGAAUAGGACGAAAUGCGCAUCCUGGAU
Molecule: non-coding RNA, 45 nt
Filed under: Trichobilharzia regenti
Lineage: Eukaryota; Metazoa; Platyhelminthes; Trematoda; Strigeidida; Schistosomatidae
Source: RNAcentral